CGCUAAGAAGCUAAACUGGUCAAGAGCGUUAGCCUUUUAAGCUAAAAAUUGGUGCCUACCACCCACCCCUAGCGA
Molecule: transfer RNA, 75 nt
Filed under: Channa pulchra
Lineage: Eukaryota; Metazoa; Chordata; Actinopteri; Anabantiformes; Channidae
Description: tRNA-Lys
Rfam family: tRNA
About the family: Transfer RNA (tRNA) molecules are approximately 80 nucleotides in length. Their secondary structure includes four short double-helical elements and three loops (D, anti-codon, and T loops). Further hydrogen bonds mediate the characteristic L-shaped molecular structure. tRNAs have two regions of fundamental functional importance: the anti-codon, which is responsible for specific mRNA codon recognition, and the 3' end, to which the tRNAs corresponding amino acid is attached (by aminoacyl-tRNA synthetases). tRNAs cope with the degeneracy of the genetic code in two manners: having more than one tRNA (with a specific anti-codon) for a particular amino acid; and 'wobble' base-pairing, i.e. permitting non-standard base-pairing at the 3rd anti-codon position.
Source: RNAcentral